This 77-nucleotide transfer RNA is filed under the name Prolixibacteraceae bacterium JC049. RNAcentral describes it as "tRNA-Met". It matches the Rfam family "tRNA". Rfam says of the family: Transfer RNA (tRNA) molecules are approximately 80 nucleotides in length. Their secondary structure includes four short double-helical elements and three loops (D, anti-codon, and T loops). Lineage: Bacteria; Pseudomonadati; Bacteroidota; Bacteroidia; Marinilabiliales; Prolixibacteraceae. The record is from RNAcentral.
GGCGAGGUAGCUCAGCUGGUUAGAGCGCAGGAUUCAUAAUCCUGAGGUCGCGAGUUCAAGUCUCGCUCUCGCUACAA